RNAcentral lists this long non-coding RNA (1330 nucleotides) under Apteryx rowi (Okarito brown kiwi). Its description in RNAcentral is "lncRNA (ENSARWG00000008576.1)". The record is from RNAcentral. Lineage: Eukaryota; Metazoa; Chordata; Aves; Apterygiformes; Apterygidae.
GGGUCGCGGGGCUCGCCUCGGCACAGGGCGGGCGCGGCGCAGACGGGGCUUCGGAACCGCUUGCCUCUGUCUGCCUUCGCCUUUUUUAUCCUCAUUUCAAACACCUUUUCCCACAAUCCUUUAUUCAUUCUUUUCAUCAGAAUUACUCCUAUGAUUUUGAAAAUACACAAAAUCUUCGUUUUCAUUUGGCAUAGCAUCCAUCCUUGGUGCCUGGAGGUAGCAAACGCUGAUUUACAAGCCACAGAGCUUCUUGUCUUUUUUCCUGUUUUCUUUGCAGAACAGCACAAAACAGAGAAGUCUGGGCUUGUGCUCAAGAAUAUCAGGAGCUGAUAGUAGCCUAAUAGCUAGUGUGUGAAACACCGUAUCAUUGCAAGGAGGCUGUUAACUGUUUCACAGCAGCAAGAAAACAACAUACUGUUAAAGAGAAAGGGGGAAAUUUGAAGGGAGAAAGUUAGAACUCGUCUCUUUUUGGAAUAUCGAGUUACCACUGCCUGAGGAAGGGAUCCGCAUGAAACGAUUUAAAUUAUCUUACUCCUGAAAGGAUCAAAGAGGUAAAUCAUAGGGUGUUAUUAUCAGUGCAAUACACUUUCAACAAUAGCACUCAUUCACUAGAACAGAGAAACCAAUUUUGCAUAAUAAUGUAUUCUCAUGAAAGAAUAUACCCCCCAAAGGAGUGGAUUUUCAGCUUUAACUCUCUCCCCAGUUCAGGUUUUCCUUCCGGCCCAAAUUCUAUUUCACAAUGAAUUUUAACAACUCGCGAUAUGAAGAUUUAUUUUUUUCUUUAUGUUUUAAAACUAAAGGGCGGUAUACAACAACAGUAACUACCCUGCCUCCGGAACAUAGCAAACAGAAGCGAUUCCUCCCCCCUACCCCCCCAAAAAAGACAGUACGUUGAAAGCACAGUAACAUGAACAUCAGCCUUCAGAGAGGGGCUUGUCGGUUGUUUCUUCUGCUGGAAUGCCUAAGCAAGCGUGAGGUACCAUCGGCUUUAACACGCACUAUUAAAGCACAAACGUCUCUCCAGAAGGCACUAGCUAAUAGUUCGUGGUCUUUCAAGAUAAACUAUUUGAGCGGGCUUAGGUGAUUUCGGAGGGAAGGGGCUCGGCCAAGGGAGCCAGCUCUGCACCCGCGUCUGGGACCACGGGACGAGGCUGUGUUACUUCCUCCGCUUUAAUACCAAUUUACCCUAAGACCCACUGUUCAAACCACUCUCUUUUCUAUCCUGAUAUGGAGAAAACCUUCUAAAGCACAAGUUUUCAUGCUGGCUGUCCUGAUAUCGCUAAUGGUGUAAUUUUAAUUUAGAAGAUAAAACGAAAGUUUCUCUCUCGCU